This 426-nucleotide ribosomal RNA is filed under the name uncultured bacterium. RNAcentral's name for it is "bacterial SSU rRNA". It matches the Rfam family "Bacterial small subunit ribosomal RNA", at positions 354 to 796 of the family's 1533-position model. The record is from RNAcentral.
GUGGGGAAUCUUGCGCAAUGGGCGAAAGCCUGACGCAGCGACGCCGCGUGGGCGAAGAAGGCCUUCGGGUCGUAAAGCCCUGUUGGGGGGAAAGAAGACCGACGGUACCCCCUGAGGAAGCCCCGGCUAACUCCGUGCCAGCAGCCGCGGUAAGACGGAGGGGGCAAGCGUUGUCCGGAAUUACUGGGCGUAAAGGGCGCGUAGGCGGCUUUUCGAGUCGGUUGUGAAAGCCCCGGGCUCAACCCGGGGAGGCCAGCCGAUACUGGGAGGCUUGAGUGCAGGAGAGGGAAGUGGAACUGCCGGUGUAGCGGUGGAAUGCGUAGAUAUCGGCAGGAACACCCGCGGCGAAGGCGGCUUCCUGGACUGCCACUGACGCUGAGGCGCGAAAGCCAGGGGAGCGAACGGGAUUAGAUACCCCUGUAGUCC